Rhineura floridana is the source of this 1184-nucleotide long non-coding RNA. RefSeq lists it as uncharacterized. The record is from RefSeq and is a predicted model, not a curated record. NCBI's taxonomy places the organism in Eukaryota, Metazoa, Chordata, Lepidosauria, Squamata, Rhineuridae. The transcript is spliced from 2 exons.
UCACAUUUUCCACUUAAAUUACUAUCAUUUAGGUUGUUAAUUACAACAGACAGGUUGAUGCUGUAUCCUGCCCCAAUCUUGUCUUGGGCUGGAUCUACCAUGUGCUCUUAAGUUUUUAAUACCUUAAUGAUCCGAAUGUUUUAUAAGAACAGUGAUGACUCACCAUAUGGAAGUCAGGAAACAGUAUAAAUGCUCUCACCAUUUCAGUUAUUUCCACCAGUGUCUUUUGGCGUCCCACGAUUUUUGGGGGUCAUCUUUUCCUGCUGUUGCUGCUUUCUGGACUGGAACGUCAUCUAUCAACUUUGGAGUGAUGGAUUCACAGCCACGGAUAAUAGUCCGUCCUAUUCCUGUUCCUAUUCCUCAUACUGUUGUUGUUCCUUUCCCCUGGAAACCACCCAGGCAUCCUCCCCUGUCUGUUGGAAUCCCCAUAUCGAUUUUGGAUGCUGUCAGACACCCAUACCUCCUGAGCAACAACCCUGCCCAGAGAUGUGAAGGGUUGUCAGGCCCUAGCUUUCCUUAUGCUUUAUCUGAAAUUCAUUUCCCACCCCUGAUGCAACCAAACUCAUUUCUUUACAAUCCCAGCACAAGCUCACAUCUCCUCGGGUGACAGCUGUGCAGGAUGAGCUGGUCCCUUCAUUGAAUGGGAACAAGAUCAUCACAGGAAUGGAAUGAAAUGGUACCCGAAUUGCACAAAAUGGAUUCACAGCAGAUUAUUGUAUGGGUGUUUGUGCCAGAAAUGUUGAGCCUCCCCAUCCAGAUAAACAAGAGUAGACUGGAUCUAUGAUUGCUCAUCACCUCUGACACUCAGACCUACACCUGGCUGCUCAAAGCUUCCUUUAGGUUUCCCUCCAAUUCUCUUAGAUAUGGACCUUUUUUCUUCCUUUCUUUCAAGGCAACCUGAAGACACUUUGACCAAAAUGCAUGGGAUCCCAAAUUCACUUAUCAUUCUUUGAUGGAUCUCUGAAUAUUUCUCAGGUCUGCAAGGUUUAUGGUGCUUCCACUUUGCUGAGAAGAUCUGUUUUUUCACUGUGUAUUUAUGCCUUGUCUCAUUUUACUCCUCAUUCAUCUGUCAUUUCACUCUUCUGCCCAAAAUGUAUUGUUCACCUGUUGAAGCUGCUCAUCAUAGAAAUGUUUUCGUGAACUCCUCUUCCCCCUGCAAUAAACCUCAUCUAUCUGCAUCAAAA